AAGUGGAACGGAAAGGCCCUGCUUGCAGGGGUACUCGAGGGGGGAACGGGGGGAGUAAACACGUGGGGUAAUUUGCCCCUGUAAUUCGGGAUAAGCCUGGGGAAACUGGGUCUUAAAUACCGGAUAGGACCGUCUUUUAGUGUAGGCGGUGGAAAGACUUCGGUCGGUAGGGGGAUGAGCUUGCGGCCUAUCAGCUUGUUGGUGGGGUAAUGGCCUACCAAGGCGUCGACGGGUAGCCGGCCUGAGAGGGUGUACGGCCACAUUGGGACUGAGAUACGGCCCAGACUCCUACGGGAGGCAGCAGUGGGGAAUAUUGCACAAUGGGCGCAAGCCUGAUGCAGCGACGCCGCGUGGGGGAUGACGGCCUUCGGGUUGUAAACUCCUUUCGCCAGGGACGAAGCGUUAUAGUGACGGUACCUGGAUAAGAAGCACCGGCUAACUACGUGCCAGCAGCCGCGGUAAUACGUAGGGUGCAAGCGUUGUCCGGAAUUACUGGGCGUAAAGAGCUCGUAGGUGGUUUGUCACGUCGUCUGUGAAAGUCCAGCGCUUAACGCUGGGAUUGCAGGCGAUACGGGCUGACUUGAGUGCUGUAGGGGAGACUGGAAUUCCUGGUGUAGCGGUGAAAUGCGCAGAUAUCAGGAGGAACACCAAUGGCGAAGGCAGGUCUCUGGGCAGUGACUGACGCUGAGGAGCGAAAGCAUGGGUAGCCAACAGGAUUAGAUACCCUGGUAGUCCAUGCCGUAAACGGUGGGCGCUAGGUGUGGGGACCUUCCCACGGUUUCUGCGCCGUAGCUAACGCAUUAAGCGC
RNAcentral lists this ribosomal RNA (808 nucleotides) under uncultured bacterium. Its description in RNAcentral is "bacterial SSU rRNA". It matches the Rfam family "Bacterial small subunit ribosomal RNA", at positions 59 to 867 of the family's 1533-position model. The record is from RNAcentral.